GAUGAACGCUGGCGGCGUGCUUAAUACAUGCAAGUCGAGCGAAGCACUUUAACGGAAUUCUUCGGAAGGAAGGUAAAGUGACUGAGCGGGCGACGGGUCGAAGGUACGCGUAGUAGUAACCUGCCUUUCAGAGGGGGACAACAGCUGGAAACGGCUGCUAAUACCGCAUAAUAUAUACAGGUCGCAUGAUUUGUAUAUCAAAGAUUUAUCGCUGAAAGAUGGACUCGCGUCUGAUUAGCUAGUUGGCGGGGUAACGGCCCACCAAGGCGACGAUCAGUAGCCGGACUGAGAGGUUGAACGGCCACAUUGGGACUGAGAUAUGGCCCAG
Molecule: ribosomal RNA, 328 nt
Filed under: uncultured bacterium
Lineage: Bacteria
Description: bacterial SSU rRNA
Rfam family: Bacterial small subunit ribosomal RNA
Source: RNAcentral